AGAACGAACGCUGGCGGCAUGCCUAAUACAUGCAAGUCGAACGAACUCUUCGGAGUUAGUGGCGCACGGGUGCGUAACGCGUGGGAAUCUGCCCCUUGGUUCGGAAUAACAGUUGGAAACGACUGCUAAUACCGGAUGAUGACGAAAGUCCAAAGAUUUAUCGCCAAGGGAUGAGCCCGCGUAGGAUUAGCUAGUUGGUGAGGUAAAGGCUCACCAAGGCAACGAUCCUUAGCUGGUCUGAGAGGAUGAUCAGCCACACUGGGACUGAGACACGG
RNAcentral lists this ribosomal RNA (275 nucleotides) under uncultured soil bacterium. RNAcentral describes it as "partial 16S ribosomal RNA". It matches the Rfam family "Bacterial small subunit ribosomal RNA", at positions 26 to 329 of the family's 1533-position model. The record is from RNAcentral.